RNAcentral lists this long non-coding RNA (753 nucleotides) under Marmota monax (woodchuck). Lineage: Eukaryota; Metazoa; Chordata; Mammalia; Rodentia; Sciuridae. The record is from RNAcentral.
CGCCCUCUCGUUAAGGGGCCUUAUUGGACUACCGAGUGUGGCCUCUAACUGCGGGAGGGGCCUUCUCUAUAUUUUUUUCUCUUCUUUAAAAUUCGCCAGGCUGUGUUUUCAAAUGCUAUAGUUUCAAUAACAGUGUUCCUGGUAUAAACCACAGGGAACACAUUUCCUCAUUUUUCCUUUCCGCCGAAAAACCUUUCCCGGGAGUUGGGUCGCUUCACGAAUUCGCGCAUGCGCGUGAAGGGGCAAAAGAUGGCGGUGAUAAUCGCCGCACUUUUUUUUUAAAUUAGUGGAUCCCAGAAAUCAUUGCGCGCAUUUGUAACGAAUUUCCGUUCGAGUUUGUAUUUUAGGCGCCAUUUUCGAGUGAAGGACCUGGAGCCGAAGCACCGGUAGGAGCAGGGGGGAGUGGGCCUUUAUAGCCGUUUCCAGCCCUGGUUGAGUGGACUGUCCCGCAGGUAACGUACUUCUUUUCCUGAUACGGUUGUCACACUCCUACUUUCUGCCCUGUCCAACCAGCGCCUGGAAGUUAGAGGCCUUGAACUAGAGCAGCGAAGUACGGGGUGAGGAGGCUGCUACUGGGAGAUUCUCUCACUGUCACCCCUCCCCCCCCACCGGCCGCUCCCUGUGGCUGGGGCUCUCGCGCGCUUCUCCCUGGCGCCACUUCUCUGAGCUGCGUACAGCGUCUUUUAGGGUGGCUCCAAGUCUCUCGAAUCUCUUCUCAGAAAUCCUGGUCUCACAGACCGGCGUCUCCUCUGA